GGUUCAGGAUGAACGCUGGCGGCGUGCCUAACACAUGCAAGUCGAGCGAAGCAUAGGUGCUUGCACUUAUGACUUAGCGGCGGACGGGUGAGUAACGCGUGGGUAACCUGCCCUGUACAGAGGAAUAACAGUUAGAAAUGACUGCUAAUGCCUCAUAAGCCGACGUAAUGGCAUCAUUAAGUCGGAAAAGAUUUAUCGGUACAGGAGGGACCCGCGUCUGAUUAGCUAGUUGGUGAGGUAACGGCUCACCAAGGCGACGAUCAGUAGCCGACCUGAGAGGGUGAUCGGCCACAUUGGAACUGAGACACGGUCCAAACUCCUACGGGAGGCAGCAGUGGGGAAUAUUGCACAAUGGGGGAAACCCUGAUGCAGCAACGCCGCGUGAAGGAAGAAGUAUUUCGGUGUGUAAACUUCUAUCAGUAGGAAAGAAAAAAUGACGGUACCUACAUAAGAAGCACCGGCUAAAUACGUGCCAGCCGCCGC
This 483-nucleotide ribosomal RNA is filed under the name uncultured bacterium. RNAcentral describes it as "bacterial SSU rRNA". It matches the Rfam family "Bacterial small subunit ribosomal RNA", at positions 21 to 518 of the family's 1533-position model. The record is from RNAcentral.